CACGUCUUCAGUAACAUCGCUGACAAUCCUGAUUCUCAUCACCUCUCUUUCACUGAGAGUACUGUGUGUGCAAAGUGCAUUUCUAGUUUUAGCUGGAAGUAGCUGUAAAUCUUUAAGCCAUUUAAUUGGAUUGAUUCAAAAUACUCUACUAAACUCUACCAUACAAGAUGCCAGUGUGUCAUAUGCUAAACACAGUGUGACAGACAGGUCAAAUCUCAAUGACUUAUAUCUCAGAAAUGUAAGUGUGUGUUGCAUAAACUUCAGGGACAGCAUCUUUUUCCAGCAUCUACCAUUCAAAACACUGUUGAAGAGAUACAGAGUAUAGGCACUGGGACAGACUUUAUAUACUUUAAAUAGAUUAAACUCGCUUCUUAGAGAGAUGAAUCUGUGACACAAAGCAGUCUGACUUGUUCUCAGCUUGCCACACAGGGCCCACGAGGGGCCGGUGAUGUUUCACCUUACGAUGGUAAGGUGUUUAUGACUGGUUUUAUACCAGGAUGCAGUCGAGGUUGUGAAGUCUUUGGGAUCUGCGAAAAAGAAGCACAAGGUUUUGGCUGUGUACUUCUCUCCACUCAACAUGCCCUGUCAAGUCUGAUCAAAUCCAGAAUAUAUGCAGCUGGUUUUGUUGUGUAGAGAGAGGGAGGAGUUUGGCCAAGCCAAGGAUUUUUCCGAACUGCCGGCUGACUUGAAACUACUAAGAGAGAAUGGGAUAACCUUGGCAGAUGAAUCUGAAAGGAGCACUGUACUGCAUUGCUGGAGACAACUUGGGGUCUCACCGCAUUGGUGGUUUUACAGAAAAUUUUGAACAGGCACAUCAAACAGUUCAAAUACAAAGCAACAGAUGCUUGUUUCCAAACCUUGUGCUGCCACUUUUGCCACUUUGCUGAAGACGUUCAGAUGGAGAGUGUGCCAGCAAACCCCUGCCUUAUUGUGUGUGGGUCCUCCUGCUCUGCUGCUGAGAUCUUCAUGUUGAGCAUUGACCAAAAGGUCGUCAGUGACCGCAUCACUUCCGCCAUCUGCCAACAUACAGUACCCAGGGGAAUUGCAGUCAACACUGCAGUUCCUCCAGUGGAAAAAAUUGUAGAGAGAUUCCAGCAGCCGCCAGCAGAGGGCAGCAGCUGAACAGCUGAGAUGAGGUGAAACCUCUCACCACAUCUUUUUCAUCGCCCUCCUGUGCUGCUCUGUGCAUCCGCCCCUUUCUCUGUAUCUGGUGCACUAUAUUGCCAAAAGUAUGUGGACACAACCUACUUCGGUAUACUUUCUUUCAGGGGGAAUCUUAAUGUUAUAACUAAGAUAAUUAGGAUAAAUAAGAUAAGAUAAGCCUUUGCUGAUCCUCGGAGGAGAAAUUCAGCUGUUGCAACAAGGACAGAUUAUUGUGUAAAUAAUAUAAAAAAAAGUAAGAAAUAAAUAUAAGAAUUAAAUAGAAUUACAAGGCAUGCAACAUCAUGCACUACCCAUGGGUGGUGUUGCAAACCAACAGUGCAGUACUGUCUCAAAUUAGCUGACAGUGUAGUAAAGUAAGUAAAGUACAUGUAAAGAUAACAUUAUACCAUCUAUUAUAACAGCAUACACCAGACAUCAACAUAACAUGAGAACUUGCAGUGUACGUAUUGUGUCUUCCCCCUCUCCGCUGUCUCUGUCCUGUAAAUCCACUGCAGCAGCAUUCUUAGCGACUGGCUGAUUGUGAUGUUGGUGAUCUGGAAAACCAACCUUGUUCUUUUAUUAAGCUCUUUGUAGCUCGCACUGAAUAAACAGUCUGGCCGAGAAAGGAUUACACUAAGUGGGGCGAGAAAUUUGAGUUCACAAACAAGUCGUCAACAUCCAUAUAGUCAGCCGUCUGUCAGAAUAUAUAAUAUAACCAUCCUGCAAACUGACCCAUUUCAUCCUGUCUGAUCUAUUGAAUAUGUCAUCACUGAUGGUACUCAGAUAUACACACCCUCUGUCUGGUUUAAAUGUCUCAUCGCAUCUAUGUAUACUCAUCUAGGUUAUAUGGAAAAGUCCAUGUACGGUAUUAAAACUAAAUGCUGUAAUUUGGUGUUUUACACCAUAGGGGGAGCUGCAGUACAUAAUACAGGACACAUAAUGCUGUUAUAUUACACAGUUUCAUCCCGUGCAGGUCUGUGGUGUUGGCUAUGGGAGCUGGAGUACUACUGCGUGUGUGAAAAAGGUGUACAGCCUGUAUGACCUUGUGUGGCUCCGAAGGGGUGUCGGCAUCAAAAGAAGUGAGCUAACCAGAGACAUACAACAGAAAAAGUACGUUUUACACAUGCUGUGUGUAUUAUUGGAAACUUUAGGUGUAUUAACAUCAUGAAACAACAGGAAUGUUUGUACUUAUGGGUAUUAGUUUUAUAAACUUCUAUGAAUAUGGCGCCACUUAUCUGGUGGAGUGAUACUCAAACAGAAAUCAGAUCUACAUGUCCCUAACCCUAACUUUAACCUAAACCUGAUUCUACCCUUAACCCUCAGCCAACAGCCCUUUAAAGACGCGAUGAGUAGACAAAAUGUCCUCUCUCUCAAGGUCUAAACUCUAACUGGUCCUCACAGCGGCAGAAGUGCAGCAGCACACGUUUACGCCUCAGUGUUGUAAACUGAAUGACCUGGUUAGAAAUUGUCAUGUGAGGGACCUGAUGAUAGCCUUUCACCCUCCCACCCCUCUGGUGCAGGUCAGGUUUUACACUCCUCCAGGUAAACAGUGUUUUGGUCAUGUGAGCACGACUGACACGGUUUUAAAAACAGAGCAGUUAGAAUUUACUUCGACACUAAAACGUCUCUAAAAGUCUCCUGACUGUUGACUGACUGAGUGCUAUUGUUUGGUCAGUGUGAUGAAUUAGUUUGGCUCAGUCCAUCCUGAACCAUUCGACAAAAGAUGUUUGGUUUUUAUUGUGUUUACAAGAAAGAUCCACUGGGGACCAAUUUACACCAGAAACACAAUGUAUGGAUUAUUUAUAGAUAAAAUAUGAUUCAAAAUGACUCACCACGUAUUUAUUUAAUAUUUGAUUUGAUUUGAACGCUUCUUCAAAUCAUGCCAUGUAUUUGUGUUGUAAUGAAAAUGUACAUAGAUUUUCAGUGUUGCGAACUUAAUUUUCUUAUUUUGCUAUAUUUACUAUUUUAGGUAGUUCUCUGCAUUUCAGACUGUUUCUUAUACGGCGGUAUGCACUGUUUUUCUUUAGGCUGUCCUUGGAUGGCUACUGCUCAGCUAAUGCUGGACUGAACUGAAUCACAGUGGGUGAUGAACAGUGGUUUAAUGCUGCCUAAACUGGUUAAAUGUGGCUAAGUGUGAAUGAAGUGUCUUAAACCUCAUCUGGAUAUUAAAGUCCAUGAGUGUCAGCGUGUGACAGGGACACCAGAAUCGCUCAAAUGUGUAUUGAUGUCUUUGCGUUUUAGAUGAUUCAGCAGCUGUCAAAUCUAAUCAGAGUCUCCUUUAAUGCAU
Molecule: long non-coding RNA, 3430 nt
Organism: Toxotes jaculatrix (banded archerfish)
Lineage: Eukaryota; Metazoa; Chordata; Actinopteri; Toxotidae
Exons: 3
Source: RefSeq, a predicted model, not a curated record